AUGUGGCAAUGGAUUCGUGGUCGUCUGCCCUCGGGCACGGAGGUCUAGAAGCGGCAUGGCCCAGGUGAUGGCCAAUGCCCACUAUGUGACGUCCCCGAAGACUCUAACAAUAUCUUCUUUCGCUGCCCGGCGGCGCGAUUCCUAUGGAGUUGCUUCCGGGACGUUGUCGGUGGCUCUUGGUGCCAUGAUAACCUCCCUGACCUAUUUAGGGAGGUCUUAGAUUCCCAACCUAUCCGUAGGCCGUCCCUUUGGGUCACAGUAGGCACCCUCACGUGGACCCUCUGGAAUUGUCGCAGUAAAUUAGUGAUCGAGCACGUCAUCCCUUGCCGUGUCACUGACGCCAUGUUUAAAAUGUGUGGAUUCCUACAGCUCUGGCGACCGCUUAGCAAGCGGCGGGAUCAUGACUACAUCGACUCCAUCGUUGCCGCCCUUCGUUCUUCGGCCGCCGAGAUGUCCCCGCCGUCUCCACCACCGCCACCGGAUCCGGACUAG
RNAcentral lists this ribosomal RNA (492 nucleotides) under Triticum aestivum (bread wheat). Its description in RNAcentral is "partial small subunit ribosomal RNA". Lineage: Eukaryota; Viridiplantae; Streptophyta; Magnoliopsida; Poales; Poaceae. The record is from RNAcentral.